This is a long non-coding RNA of Xiphophorus couchianus (Monterrey platyfish), 131 nucleotides long. RefSeq lists it as uncharacterized. The transcript is spliced from 3 exons. Lineage: Eukaryota; Metazoa; Chordata; Actinopteri; Cyprinodontiformes; Poeciliidae. The record is from RefSeq and is a predicted model, not a curated record.
UGUUUAAUUCUAUUUUAUAAGAUUGGUUUAAAAGGAAGAUCUGCAUAUGUUUAACAUUUUGGCAAAACAUUACUUUGGAAACAUGUCUUUUGAAGCUGGUGAUUACAGGGUUUUGUGCAGUUGUUUCUCUG